AUGAAAACCUCAUCCUAAGGGUUUCCUUAGAAUGGACUUGGCUGUUGCCUAAUGGCUCGGCUUAAAUGACUUAGCGGUGGACGCGUUGCACUAAGCGUAAUAAGUUUCGCUUUCUGUAAAGUGGUCGCUGCUUCCAACCUGAACUUCGGUUCACUUUAAUCUUCGACCUCAAAUCAGGUAGGACUACCCGCUGAACUUAA
Molecule: unclassified non-coding RNA, 200 nt
Filed under: soil metagenome
Description: partial contains internal transcribed spacer 2 and large subunit ribosomal RNA
Source: RNAcentral